ACACCCUUGAGGUCCAGUAUGAAGAACUGCAGGAUGAGUCUUUGCCACCCUAGGGACUGCUUUAGAAACUAGAAUUCCACCACUUGAAACCCAAAGUUCCAUCAUUUGAAAUCUCUUCCCUUGGGGCCCUCUUUUAUAUGAGGCUGACCUCCAUGUAGCUGCAUCAAUUUCAGCAAAGCAGUAUAUUCUAAAGCAAAAUGGAAUCUAUGACUCCCAUUUCCCCUGCCCCGAGAAUGCCCUUGUGAGGCCAUUGAACGCAGGUACCACUAUUGCCUGACAAGCAAGGAACCUGAGUGACACAGGGAGGUGAAGAAAUUGGUGCCCGGGUGUGAAGGACAUGAUUAGUUGAGAUGGGUCUGGAAUGCAGGUUCUCAGCUCCUAACAUGGUCAUGUUAGACCAUAAGGAUGGCCUUUGGAUCUCCAACUCUAAGAGGUUCAAGCUCUUGAUGGGAGGAAUAUUCCAAUGGAGAACCUUCUUAAGGCUAAGAUUCUGGAUUUUCAUCAUUCAGAGCUGAAAGGGCUAUGGAGACCCUGUGGAGAGCUGAAAGGGCUAUGGAGCCUGGGCCACAGUGGCUCUCAAUAACAACGAGAAUCCAUUUGGGGUCAGAGAAGAGGACCAGUGGAGUGCAGUGGAAAAUGUUCUGCACUGGACAGAAACUAUCCAACUUAUCUCCACCCCAUCACCUAGCAUGGCGUCUGGCACAUAGUAGGUGAUCAACUAUGAGCUUGUUGAGCGAUGAGUAAGGCAAAACACACUGGACAUGGGUAAAAAACAACAGCGAAGUAUAUCAUUCAAUGCAUCUUUGCUGUAGCACGUGAAAUCAAUUACUGGUUUCUUGGCAGUUAAAAGUGAUUUUUUCACGGCCCUCCCCUGGUUGAUUUUCAAGUUUGCUCCAGAAGCUGCUGUGACCAAGGAGAGGCCUCUCCCUGGCGGCAAUACCACCUUUGUCCAGAAGAUGGCGGUCAAGGCCAGCAGAACACACCUUGCAGCCCUCCAGAGCCAGCCAGGCCUGCGCA
Panthera uncia (snow leopard) is the source of this 1017-nucleotide long non-coding RNA. RefSeq lists it as uncharacterized. The record is from RefSeq and is a predicted model, not a curated record. The transcript has 5 exons. NCBI's taxonomy places the organism in Eukaryota, Metazoa, Chordata, Mammalia, Carnivora, Felidae.